This 628-nucleotide ribosomal RNA is filed under the name Papiliotrema laurentii. RNAcentral describes it as "eukaryotic LSU rRNA". It matches the Rfam family "Eukaryotic large subunit ribosomal RNA", at positions 47 to 655 of the family's 3401-position model. The record is from RNAcentral. Lineage: Eukaryota; Fungi; Basidiomycota; Tremellomycetes; Tremellales; Rhynchogastremaceae.
AUAGCGGAGGAAAAGAAACUAACAAGGAUUCCCCUAGUAACGGCGAAGUGAACCGGGAAAAGCUUCAAAUUUGAAAUCUGGCGUCCUCAGGGCGUCCGAGUUGUAAUCUAUAGAGGCGUUUUCCGUGCCGGACCGUGUCCAAGUCCCUUCGGAACAGGGUAUCAAAGAGGGUGACAAUCCCGUACUUGACACGACUACCGGUGCUCUGUGAUACGUCUUCUACGAGUCGAGUUGUUUGGGAAUGCAGCUCAAAAUGGGUGGUGAGUUCCAUCUAAAGCUAAAUAUUGGCGAGAGACCGAUAGCGAACAAGUACCGUGAGGGAAAGAUGAAAAGCACUUUGGAAAGAGAGUUAAACAGUACGUGAAAUUGUUGAAAGGGAAACGAUUGAAGUCAGUCGUGACCGAGAGGCUCAGCCGGCUCUGCCGGUGUAUUCCCCUCGGUCGGGUCAACAUCAGUUUUGUCCGGUGGAUAAGGGCGGUAGGAAGGUGGCACCCACGGGUGUGUUAUAGCCUGCCGUCGCAUACACUGGGUGAGACUGAGGAAUGCAGCUCGCCUUUAUGGCCGGGGUUCGCCCACGUCCGAGCUUAGGAUGUUGACAUAAGGAUCGUGACUUUAAACGACCCGUCUA